This is an RNA transcript of Brassica oleracea var. oleracea, 1447 nucleotides long. It is a transcript of the gene named clp protease-related protein At4g12060, chloroplastic-like, with no coding region annotated. The record is from RefSeq and is a predicted model, not a curated record. Lineage: Eukaryota; Viridiplantae; Streptophyta; Magnoliopsida; Brassicales; Brassicaceae. The transcript has 4 exons.
AUUUAAUGAUGUUUUAGUGUAUUCUAUUUCGUUUGCUCUUCUUUUCCUUGUACUAUCUAUUUACAAACCAAAAGAUUUAAAAUCCUCAAAAAACUUCGCUGAUUCAGCGAUCCUAAAAAAAUCUCGCCACGAUUCCAAUCUCCACACGUUGUUCGCUGAUUCACAGUAAACCAUUCGAGACGAGACGCUCAUCCACUCAUCCCAAAGAAAGGCUCGUCUUCUUGUCGGAGUGAAAAUGGCGUCGUCGUACACGUUUUCCUUUAUCCCUUUGACGACCGUCGUCGUUCCCCGGCGGAGUACAUCAUCUCCCUCUUUUUCCCUGAUUCCUCCUCCUUCUCUGUUAGGUAAGAAGCUUAUGGUGACACAACCGUCGCGCCGCUGCUUUGUCUCCAAGCACCGGUUCUUGACAUCGGCCAGCACCGUCUUUAGCGUCCCAACUGAGCAACCGGAGAAUGGUUCUUCUUCGGAUAAGAUCCCAAAAUGGUCGGCGAGAGCUAUCAAAUCGCUGGCAAUGGGGGAAUUGGAGGCUAGGAAACUCAAGUAUCCAACUACCGGCACCGAAACUCAUGGGUAUUUUAGUCGAAGGUUUGUGUUAUUCCGACCAGACCCAUGUUUGCUUCAGGCUUCUUCAGCUUUUUUUUCUAAUUUGAUGUGUCUUCUAGUUUAGUUUGGUGGAUAAUGUAUGUAUGCUUGUUGCGGUUGAAUGGUGGUGAAGAGUUCUCUUCCGCUUAUUAUGCAAAGGCUUAGGCGUAUUAUGGUUGGUUGUUUAUUCAUGUGGGAUGGGAAUUUUUGCUCCUGUCCUUUGUGUUUCUUGAUCACAGACAACUAAGUCUGUUGUAUCGUAAGCUGUGGAGUGCCUUAUGUUGGUUGAUAGAGGAGAGAGUUCAGUUACACAAUAGUAAAGUGAAAAAGCCUUAAAAAAUUUAGUUUUGAGAGAGAUCAGUAAUAUAAGAAGAAGUUCAUUGCCCGCUUAACUGAUUCUGAGCAUAGACAUGUGGGAUAAGGUUUUACUUCUAUCCUUUCGUUUAACCAUAGAAAAACCGAUAACUUUGUAUUCAGUUGUGGAAAUGCUUAUGUUGUUUGAUAGUGUGCUUGUCAUCAGAAUUGGGUAUUAUCAUCAUAAUUUUUUUUGUUAUCCUUGUUGUUUUCCCGGUUUUUUUUAUUUCAGGUACAAAGCACAGCUGCUAAGUUCCUUCCUGAGGGGGAACGGAGUCACACUUUUUAAGGUGAGAGAGGAGAUUAUAAAGCUGCUAGGGAAAUCAGAUAUGUACUUCUUUAGCCCUGAGCAUCCCUCCUCUAACCGAACCGGCUCGCAAGGCCGUUGACUGGGCUGUUGACGAGGAGAAGAAAUCUGGUGUGGAUGGACUGCCUACCUGCUUCUGGGAGUUUGGUCUCAGAAGGAUUCAGCAGGCCGCCAGAUUUUGGAGGCGCUCGGGUUCAACGAAGA